GUCUACGGCCAUACCACCCUGAACGCGCCCGAUCUCGUCUGAUCUCGGAAGCUAAGCAGGGUCGGGCCUGGUUAGUACUUGGAUGGGAGACAUGAGGGCAGUGUCUGGUGCAAAGGCA
RNAcentral lists this ribosomal RNA (118 nucleotides) under Canis lupus familiaris (dog). The record is from RNAcentral. Lineage: Eukaryota; Metazoa; Chordata; Mammalia; Carnivora; Canidae.